GCAAGUCGAACGGGCUGUUCUUCGGAGCAGCCAGUGGCGCACGGGUGCGUAACCCGUAGGUAAUCAACCCUUGAGUUCGGGAUAACACUGCGAAAGAGGUGCUAAUACCGGAUGUGACGAUCGGAACUUCGGAACUGAUCGGGAAAGAUCCGCAAGGAUUGCUCGAGGACGAGCCUGCGGCCCAUCAGCUUGUUGGUGAGGUAAAAGCUCACCAAGGCUAAGACGGGUAGCCGGCCUGAGAGGGUGAUC
RNAcentral lists this ribosomal RNA (249 nucleotides) under uncultured bacterium. RNAcentral's name for it is "partial 16S ribosomal RNA". It matches the Rfam family "Bacterial small subunit ribosomal RNA", at positions 57 to 305 of the family's 1533-position model. The record is from RNAcentral.